AACGAACGCUGGCGGCAUGCCUAACACAUGCAAGUCGAACGAAAAGUUCGGGUCUAGUGGCGCACGACUGCAUAACGCGAGGGAACAUGACCUUGGGUUCGGCCUAACUCCCAGACAGGGAUGCUAAUACCGGAUCAUGUCUUCGGCCCAAAGAUUUAUCGCCUUUGGAUGGGCCCGCGUUGGAUUAGCUAGUUGGUAGGGUAAAAGAUUAACAAGGCGACGAUCCAUAGCUGGUCUGAGAGGAUGAUCAGCCACUCUGGGACUGAGACACGGCCCAGACUCCUCCGGGAGGCAGCAGUGGGGAAUAUUGGACAACGGGCGAAAGCCUGAUCCAGCAAUGCCGCGUGAGUGAUGAAGGCCUUAGGGUUGUAAAGCUCUUUUACCCGGGAUGAUAAUGACAGUACCUGGAGAAUAAGCUCCGGCUAACUCCGUG
This 433-nucleotide ribosomal RNA is filed under the name uncultured bacterium. RNAcentral's name for it is "partial 16S ribosomal RNA". It matches the Rfam family "Bacterial small subunit ribosomal RNA", at positions 29 to 507 of the family's 1533-position model. The record is from RNAcentral.